Molecule: transfer RNA, 66 nt
Filed under: Leioscyta sp. CPL-2004
Lineage: Eukaryota; Metazoa; Arthropoda; Insecta; Hemiptera; Membracidae
Description: tRNA-Leu
Source: RNAcentral
UCUACUGUGGCAGAAAGUAUGCAAUGAAUUUAAAAUUCAUUUAUAAAUAAUAAAAUUUCUUUAGAA